Molecule: ribosomal RNA, 253 nt
Filed under: uncultured bacterium
Lineage: Bacteria
Description: partial 16S ribosomal RNA
Rfam family: Bacterial small subunit ribosomal RNA
Source: RNAcentral
UACGUAGGUGGCAAGCGUUGUCCGGAAUUAUUGGGCGUAAAGCGCACGUAGGCGGCAUUGCAAGUCGGAUGUGAAAUCCCUCGGCUUAACCAAGGAAGUGCAUCCGAAACUGCAGUGCUUGAGUACUUAAGAGGAUCGCGGAAUUCCCGGUGUAGAGGUGAAAUUCGUAGAUAUCGGGAGGAACACCAGUGGCGAAGGCGGCGAUCUGGGAAGAUACUGACGCUGAGGUGCGAAAGCGUGGGGAGCAAACAGG